GCGGAGGCAUCUUUUUGGGGCUGACGGGCUUCACCUCAACUCGCGGGGCUGCCGUCUUCUGUCCGCCAAUUUGGCAUUUGGUGUACAGCACUCCUGCUCCCAGCCCACUCAUUACACCAAACCCACUGCACCUGCUGACCUGUCCGUCAUGGAUUGAUGCCCCCCUGGUCCCAGCUCCUACUUACUCAGUUCCACUUUUAACAGCAAAGCUCGCAAUACUGGACUUGGACCUAACAUUCCUCCAAACAGUUCAUCAAUUCAUGUCAUCAUCACAUUCAGAGAGCAACCACACCACCACAAACCAUAUCAUACCGUAAACAUCAAUAAUCUCAGGCCUCUUCCAAAAUUUUUUGAAGGACCAGACAG
Long non-coding RNA from Melanotaenia boesemani (Boeseman's rainbowfish), 366 nucleotides. RefSeq lists it as uncharacterized. Lineage: Eukaryota; Metazoa; Chordata; Actinopteri; Atheriniformes; Melanotaeniidae. The record is from RefSeq and is a predicted model, not a curated record. The transcript has 3 exons.